RNAcentral lists this ribosomal RNA (789 nucleotides) under uncultured bacterium. RNAcentral describes it as "bacterial SSU rRNA". It matches the Rfam family "Bacterial small subunit ribosomal RNA", at positions 8 to 796 of the family's 1533-position model. The record is from RNAcentral.
AGAGUUUGAUCCUGGCUCAGGAUGAACGCUAGCGGCAGGCCUAAUACAUGCAAGUCGAACGGAAUCAGGCAGCAAUGCUUGGUUUAGUGGCGCACGGGUGCGUAACGCGUAUGCAACCUACCUUUUACUGGGGGAUAGCCCGAAGAAAUUCGGAUUAAUACCGCAUACCACUAUUUGAGGGCAUCUGAGGAUAGUGAAAGAUUUAUUGGUAAAAGAUGGGCAUGCGUGCCAUUAGCUAGUUGGUUGAGGUAACGGCUCACCAAGGCGACGAUGGCUAGGGGUUCUGAGAGGAUGAUCCCCCACACUGGUACUGAGAUACGGACCAGACUCCUACGGGAGGCAGCAGUAGGGAAUAUUGGGCAAUGGACGAGAGUCUGACCCAGCCAUGCCGCGUGCAGGAUGAAGGCCUUCUGGGUUGUAAACUGCUUUUAUCUAGGAAGAAAAUACUCUUGCGAGAGGAACUGACGGUACUAGAGGAAUAAGCACCGGCUAACUCCGUGCCAGCAGCCGCGGUAAUACGGAGGGUGCAAGCGUUGUCCGGAUUUAUUGGGUUUAAAGGGUGCGUAGGCGGCCCAUUAAGUCCGUGGUGAAAGCCAACAGCUCAACUGUUGAACUGCCAUGGAUACUGAUGGGCUUGAGUACAGACGAGGUAGGCGGAAUGGAUGCUGUAGCGGUGAAAUGCAUAGAUAGCAUCCAGAACCCCGAUUGCGUAGGCAGCUUACUAGGCUGUAACUGACGCUGAGGCACGAAAGCGUGGGGAGCGAACAGGAUUAGAUACCCUAGUAGUCC